This 465-nucleotide ribosomal RNA is filed under the name uncultured bacterium. RNAcentral describes it as "partial 16S ribosomal RNA". It matches the Rfam family "Bacterial small subunit ribosomal RNA", at positions 338 to 795 of the family's 1533-position model. The record is from RNAcentral.
CCUACGGGUGGCAGCAGUGGGGAAUAUUGCGCAAUGGGCGAAAGCCUGACGCAGCGACGCCGCGUGAGGGAUGAAGGUCUUCGGAUCGUAAACCUCUGUCAGCAGGGAAGAACGGUCACUGUGCUAAUCAGCAGUGAAUUGACGGUACCUGCAAAGGAAGCACCGGCUAACUCCGUGCCAGCAGCCGAGGGAAUACGGAGGGUGCGAGCGUUAAUCGGAAUUACUGGGCUUAAAGCGCUCGUAGGCGGUAUGUCAAGUCAAGGGUGAAAUCCCCGCGCUCAACGUGGGAACUGCCUUUGAAACUGGCAAACUGGAGUGUGUGAGAGGAUAGUGGAAUUCCAGGUGUAGGGGUGAAAUGCGUAGAUAUCUGGAGGAACAUCAGUGGCGAAGGCGACUAUCUGGCACAUAACUGACGCUGAGGAGCGAAAGCGUGGGUAGCAAACAGGAUUAGAUACCCUUGUAGUC